Molecule: long non-coding RNA, 201 nt
Filed under: Elaeis guineensis (African oil palm)
Lineage: Eukaryota; Viridiplantae; Streptophyta; Magnoliopsida; Arecales; Arecaceae
Description: long non-coding RNA (EGUI_LNC062491)
Source: RNAcentral
UGGGAUUGACUACUCCAAGAGUUGGAGAAGAAUGAGUCACUGUAUUUCAAUUUAGCAAAAUCAUGGCCAGGAUAAUCCAUCAGAUGGAUUUGAUAUUUUGAAAUAUAAUGUGGACAACCUGAUCAGAGUUGAUAGUUGAACUCUAAGGUAUCCUAUGAUCAUUUUGGUUAAGGAGAUGAAUUAUAUGGAAACUAUAUCCAC